AUGCAAGUCGAACGGUAACAGGAUGUGCUUGCACAUCGCUGACGAGUGGCGGACGGGUGAGUAAUGCUUGGGAACUUGCCUUUGCGAGGGGGAUAACAGCUGGAAACGACUGCUAAUACCGCAUAAUGUCUUCGGACCAAACGGGGCUUCGGCUCCGGCGCAAAGAGAGGCCCAAGUGAGAUUAGCUAGUUGGUAAGGUAACGGCUUACCAAGGCGACGAUCUCUAGCUGUUCUGAGAGGAAGAUCAGCCACACUGGGACUGAGACACGGCCCAGACUCCUACGGGAGGCAGCAGUGGGGAAUAUUGCACAAUGGGGGAAACCCUGAUGCAGCCAUGCCGCGUGUGUGAAGAAGGCCUUCGGGUUGUAAAGCACUUUCAGUUGUGAGGAAAAGUUAGUAGUUAAUACCUGCUAGCCGUGACGUUAACAACAGAAGAAGCACCGGCUAACUCCGUGCCAGCAGCCGCGGUAAUACGGAGGGUGCGAGCGUUAAUCGGAAUUACUGGGCGUAAAGCGCACGCAGGCGGUUUGUUAAGCUAGAUGUGAAAGCCCCGGGCUCAACCUGGGGUGGUCAUUUAGAACUGGCAGACUAGAGUCUUGGAGAGGGGAGUGGAAUUCCAGGUGUAGCGGUGAAAUGCGUAGAUAUCUGGAGGAACAUCAGUGGCGAAGGCGACUCCCUGGCCAAAGACUGACGCUCAUGUGCGAAAGUGUGGGUAGCGAACAGGAUUAGAUACCCUGGUAGUCCACACCGUAAACGCUGUCUACUAGCUGUGUGUGUCUUUAAGACGUGCGUAGCGAAGCUAACGCGCUAAGUAGACCGCCUGGGGAGUACGGCCGCAAGGUUAAACUCAAAUGAAUUGACGGGGGCCCGCACAAGCGGUGGAGCAUGUGGUUUAAUUCGAUGCAACGCGAAGAUCUUACCUACACUUGACAUGCUGAGAGUUACUAGAGAUAGUUUCGUGCCUUCGGGACUCAGACACAGGUGCUGCAUGCUGUCGUCAGCUCGUGUCGUGAGAUGUGGGUAAGUCCCGCACGAGCGCACCCUUGUCUUAGUGCCAGCUUAGUUGGGCACUCUAAGGAGACUGCCGGUGACAACCGGAAG
Molecule: ribosomal RNA, 1101 nt
Filed under: uncultured Gammaproteobacteria bacterium
Lineage: Bacteria; Pseudomonadati; Pseudomonadota; Gammaproteobacteria
Description: bacterial SSU rRNA
Rfam family: Bacterial small subunit ribosomal RNA
Source: RNAcentral